AGUGAACGCUGGCGGUAGGCCUAACACAUGCAAGUCGAACGGCAGCACAGUAAGAGCUUGCUCUUACGGGUGGCGAGUGGCGGACGGGUGAGGAAUACAUCGGAAUCUACUUUUUCGUGGGGGAUAACGUAGGGAAACUUACGCUAAUACCGCAUACGACCUACGGGUGAAAGCAGGGGAUCUUCGGACCUUGCGCGAUUGAAUGAGCCGAUGUCGGAUUAGCUAGUUGGCGGGGUAAAGGCCCACCAAGGCGACGAUCCGUAGCUGGUCUGAGAGGAUGAUCGGCGGCAUUGGAACUGAGACACGGUCCAGACUCCUACGAGAGGCAGCAGUGGGGAAUAUUAGACAAUAGGCGCAAGCCUGAUCCAGCCAUACCGCGUGGGUGAAGAAGGCCUUCGGGUUGUAAAGCCCUUUUGUUGGGAAAGAAAAGCAGCAGGUUAAUACCCCGCUGUUCUGACGGUACCCAAAGAAUAAGCACCGGCUAACUUCGUG
This 492-nucleotide ribosomal RNA is filed under the name uncultured bacterium. Its description in RNAcentral is "partial 16S ribosomal RNA". It matches the Rfam family "Bacterial small subunit ribosomal RNA", at positions 29 to 507 of the family's 1533-position model. The record is from RNAcentral.